This 13033-nucleotide long non-coding RNA is filed under the name Homo sapiens (human). RNAcentral's name for it is "HSALNT0308895". The record is from RNAcentral. Lineage: Eukaryota; Metazoa; Chordata; Mammalia; Primates; Hominidae.
GUAUAGGAACAAAGAACAACAACAGAAAAACCCACUCCUUUAAAGUAUGUACUUUUCUAUGGCCUUGGAUUUCAUUUUUCUUUGCCACCCCGUGCCUCACCCCCAGAGUUCUCAGACAGGCCACACAUCUUCCAUCUUUCUACCCCUACAUCCUUCCUAUUUCUCAGAAAGCAAAAUCCAUUUACCUCCCCCUGGCCUUCCUCUCUCAUCCCAUUCCUCCUCAUGUAGUGUGAUUUGGAGAGUAGCUUGACUUUAAUUGUCUGCAUCUCAUUUGACUCAAGUUUCAGAGGGACACCCUUGUUCAGAGUCUGACUCUGUCCGAAAACAUACCAGCUGGGAGUCACACAAAACUGAGUUGGACCACGAUGCCUCCCUCAGCUGAGUGACCUUGGGAGCGAGCCUCAGUGCUUUGAACGCCUCCUGCUCCAUCACAGUGACUGCUCAAGGCAGGACACCUGAUCCUAUCGGAAUCCACCCACGGGAACCAGCAAGUGAUUCUUGAACAUUUAUGCCAGAGAAAUGAAGACUUAUCUUGACAUGAAAAUGAAUGGACGUUUAUUUGUAAUAGCCAAACCUGGAAACAAUCCAAGUGUCCUUCAACAGAUAAUCCAAGACGGAGGAGAAGCAUCUCCAUGGCACCUCACUCUGAUUUGCGAGGAUUUGGCCAGAGAAACUGUUCUCAAGAGUGUGAAUUAGGUGGCAGCUACUAUUUUAUGGUACCUCGCUAUCCACUUUGUAAGGUACGAGUAACAACAACAACAAGCAAACCAAAUUACCAAAGCACAAAAAAAAAUGUGUUCAGUCAGUUACAAAAUGCUCCUCAGCCAGAGAAGUGGGCAUCUGACUCCUGGAGGGGCCCUUCAGCCUGUGGAGUAUUCUUGUGUGUUGCAGGUUUCACAGUGAGCAGAGGCUGUCUCUGAAAUGGGCAGAGAACCAGUGGGUUGUAGUAGUUUGCAUAUGGGGAGAAAGGGAGAGAAAGAGAGAGAGACUCUGUGUGUGUGUGUGUGUGUGUGUGUGUGGAUGUGUGGCUGAAUGUCAUCUGUGUGUCUGCACGCAACAUUGUGCCAAUGAAGUUGGACAUGCAUCUAUGUGUGGGAUGGGGUCCUGGCCUUGGCAACAAGGGGGUGUACGUGUGGGUGUGAGUGACAGCAGACUCAGAGUCCAGGCCCAGGGCCUCUGGGGACUGUCACCUGCAGGACUCAUCAUAGAGGAGACCAGGUGCUUGGAGUGUCCCCAAAGCAAUACAGAGUGCAUGGUCAUGAGUUUGAAAAAUAUUCCUGUGAGAGAUAUAAAUAAAGCCUCUAAGCCCAAAGCCAGAGUUUUCGAAAGCCAGCCUUACACACAAGAUAAUUUAUAGUUGCUGGUGUCCCUUCCCAUGCAUGACUCAGCUCUCCUAGCCCAAGUAGGCCCAGCCUGCUCCAGUAACCUUUGCUGAAAGGGAAGAGUUGAAGCAAACUCCAAGAAGCCCAAUGAUCCAACCACCCAGCUCCCGGACUAGCUCCUGCUGAGCUCCCUUCCUCUGUUCCCUUUGGGCAAACUCCAACCAUGACAUGGAUGAACAGAUCCUGGAAACUGAGAAACCAGAGACUUGGGUACUCCCAGCUGGCUGGUCCUUGGAAGUCUAUUAAACUGGUUCCCGUAUACCUUCAGGAUCUUGGCGGAUUCUGCUACCCAUACAAUGGGUAUUGGCUCAAACACCCUUCCCACCACUCCCCAGCCUGCCUUCCAGCCAUUGGGAGGCAGCAAAAUCAGAACAAAGACCUGCUUGAAGCUAGAGAGUUUUUCUCAGUCUCAGAGACUCUUGAGCCCAACAGGAAGAAUAAAAAUGAGAGCACUUUUACCUUUUAUUUAAAAGACAGUAUAUACCCAUGUCAAGUGUCAAAAAUAUGGCUAAAAAGAGGGAUAAAUAGUGACAUGCUUAAACAUUGUGGUGAAUUUGUGGGGGGAGGCAGCCAGCAAGGAACAGGGUUAGUUUUUUCAAUUUUCUCCCUAUAUUCCUCACUUCCCACCCACCUUCUUUCGUUAUAUUUUUAGCAGACUCUUUGGCCAACCACGUCCAAAGAGACAGAUGCAAGUACAGAGAGUGCAUACUGAAACCAAAGGGUGUUUCUUUUUCUUCUUUUUUUCUUAAAAACCUUCCAGGAGUGUGGAAAGGACUGGAAGUGCUCGAAGGUCUUUUUAGCCACAUGCCUUACCCCAACUGGGAUCUGGAACAUUUUUAUGCCAAGGCCCAUAUGCCUGAUUGUCCAAGUAUAGGGGAAAAAAAUAUCAUUCAGGGCUUUAAAAAAUAGUUUAGCUUUUUGAUUAAACUGCUAAACAGCCUUGAAUAAAAUAUUUUUUUUGCUGCUCUAGCAGAUGAAUUUGUGCAACUGGCCUAAUUUUAAUACAGGAUCCAACACAUAAUAGGUAUGUAAUAAUUGUUGAAUAGAUGGAUAAUUCUUUAACCCUGUAAUGAAGUGUCCUCAUUCAACAUGCAUUUAUUAAGCCACUCUUUGGGUGUGUACAAGUGUGUAUCCUCAAAGGCUUCUUCCUGCAAUAACAUUCUAUAAUUCUGUGACCUAUAUUCUGAGUAAGUCAUAUGCUGAUUCUUUGAUUAAUCUGGGGGAAGGAAGUUUCAAGUUAGCCAAGUUAAAACACACAUACACGCUACACUCCAAACCUACACAAACCUACUUCUUAAAUGAUAGAAAGCGGAGGACCUUGGUAGCUGCAUAGCUAAAACCACAGAAUUUUGCCUGGUUUGGCCUGGCCUUGUUGGAAGUGCACAGAGCCUACUCUAGAUCCCAUAGCUCAGUCUUUUGAAGUUCUUCUUUUGUUCCUUGCCUCCUCUUCUUUCUGAUCUUUCCAUUCAGGGGUGGUCAUCUUCCACAUUCUCAGUUUCUGAAAGCCCCCUGUUCUCCUAGUCACCCCUGUCUUUUCCCAUCUUAAAAAUAACAAAGGCUGUGUGUCAUUCAUAUGUGCGGAUUGAUCUGCACAUGUGGAUGAAUUUGAUUUAGAGAUCCUUGCAUGUUAUUGGAAGGUAACAGACUAACAGAGAGGCGAAGAGACUCCCAAGAUCACACAGCUAUUGAAUAGCAGCAAUCUAGCCCAUUGUUCUGAUCUGAAAUUGAUCUAUAAUUCUCAAGUGAGAGCUACAGAUACAAUUCCACAAGCCUGCCAAUUAGGAGACUUGAGGUGGCCUUGAGGCUGAGUCAAGCCAAUCUUUCUGCCCUUUUGAUAGCUGGUCACUCCCCUUGGAUCUAUACUAUUUGCUUCAGCUUCUAGUGAUUUCUUCUACUCUGUUUGGGAUAUUCACACUGUAUUAGGAAUUUAUAGACCUGGAUGGGCCCACCAGAUGUCAUCUGCUUUCUGAAGUUCUCAAUCACCAGGCAGAAUUCCAGCCCCAGCAAUCCUUUGUUCUGAAGGAUAUAGGGAGGCCCUUCAGUAAGAAAAUCAGUCUGAAUUUCUGUUUUUCCCUCCAGAAUGACAGUGGCCCCUUCUGUUGGGUUUGCAACAUUUACUCUGGAAGCCCCCACUGCACGCUUACCCUAAUCAUCUGCAGGUCUUGGCUGAGCAUUUAGAGAUUCAGAAUACCAUAUUGGGUACAACAAGGGUCUCCUGGAGCCAAAAAGAUACAAACUUUCAAUCCCACUGGUUAGGGUUGGAAGGAAGACAAAUACACAGAAGAUUCUGUUGUUCCGAUGAAAGGGAUCUCUGUGUCUGCACAGCGAUGACAGGGAAUGGUGUUUGGUCUCAAACAGCACGUUUCUGACCCGAUUGACUUGGAAGAUGGGCUGCUCUUGCAUUGCGGCCCAUGCCAAGGUCACGGGGACACAUGACCACUGCAGGGAAGGAAGAUCUGUAUUCUCUGGCGAAAAUUCACAUGAGUGGGGAAGGAGAGGAGGAGGUGGCAUGCAGAGAGAGGGGCCAUCCCACUUUGCAAAUCCCUCCUCCAGCUUUGUCACUGCUCCCCACCCCUCAAGUUAGAAGCACCAGCAGCAUGGGCCAGACCAGGGCCAGCUGAUUCUGUGGCCUGUUUAUACCCUGUAACCAGAGCCUGUUCUCAAAGAGGCUGCCUGACAGCUGCAGAUGUAAGGGGAUGGACCAACACUUCCAGAGAUUGAGUGACGCGUGCUGGUGUCCAUCUCAGGGGCAGCUUAGCCUGACAAUCUUCUCAAGCCAGGGGAUGGGAGUGGGAAAAGGUGGAGCAGGCUACCAGUUAGUGCUCAUGGUGGCGGGACCUUGGAGCCUGCUAUUGAGCUUGUGUGCUCCCUCCAGCCCCUAGUCUGCCAAUGGGAUUGCUUUCUUCAGGGUCAAGGCAGGUGAAAGAGGAGUUCUGCAUGUUUCAUUGGUUUAUUUUUCCCACUCUUUAUCUUUGUCAUUACAGAAAACAAAAAGAACACAUGAUGAGGCUCUGGGUCAGCCAGGAUUCUAGAUUCUGCUGCCAGACACAUCUUACAAGGAUACUGCGUGUGUCCUGGGCGGAGGAGGAGAGCCAUAUGCAAGCCUGUAGUACAGUCCUAUGAGCAAAAACUCAGACAUCUUUGAGCGAUAGAAGAGACAACUGGGCCGGGGGCCAGUUCAGUGCGGACCUACAUUUCAACCACCAUGAUGAAGGUUUGGGGCUGUUAUGAUCACAUUUGCCUUUUACUUCUCAUAAUACUGAGAUAUACCUGUGAGAAUACAGCUGUGCUAGAGAAGCCAGGACUGAGAAGUAAUUUAAUAUUCAUCCUUAAGUGUCAGGAAGGUUAUUAUGGGAAGGAAGGUGACAAGCUACUCCUCCCUGAGCUCAGAGCAUGAAGAGAUGGAUGUGAACCUCUACAAAUGAGACUUAGGUUACAGUCAUGGAAGACAUAGUGAGCUUCAUCUGAGUCCUGUUCUCCAGCCUGUCUUGGACACUGUACCCCCCAUCUGUUAGUAGAGUGGCAACGUGGUCUAGAAAGAGCACUGGGCAAGGAACCCCGGAGUCCUGUAGAGACCUUUUAGCUGCCAUGACCUUAGACAUGCCAGAUGUGUCCAUUUAUGGAUCUCAUUUUCUUCUCUUUUUUAAAUAAGGAAGGUCAUGGUUUAUGGUCUCUGAGCUUCUUCCUUCUACUUCAACCACUGGUUCUAUGCUAAGUCUAAGUGUUGGAAUGUAGAUACUCUUGAGUGUCUUCCUAAGCCUGAAUCAGUUGUCUGUAACCCAGGUCGAUAUACUAGCUGCUGUAGCAAACAAAUCUCAAAACAUACAAUGGCCCAUGCAUGGUAGAAAUUUACUUCUUGUUCACAAAAGGUCUAAAAUGUGUUUCCCUAAUGAGCACGCCAUUUUCCUCCAAGUGGUGAUACAGGGAAGCAGGAUCUUUCCUGUUUGAGGUUCUUACAUCUUAGGUACUUGGCUCCAAGGGAGCCAUGCUCAUUUACAUCGAGCUGGUGGAAGAGGAAAAAGCACUAGGCAAUUGAGCCUGAGAGAUUUUUAAGGACUGACUAGGAAGGGUGUGCAUUAUUUCCGGUCAAAUUCCACUGGUGAGAAAUCACUCACAUAGAAACAUCUAAAUACAGGAGAGCCUGGGAAAGGUAGUUCAGCUCCGUGCCCAGGAAAAAGAGGAAAUGGAUUUAGCCAAUAGGAAUCAAUCUGUGCCAUAGAGAGGAGAGUUUAAAGGAGAAAGUAUUAUGUGAAUUGAAGAAGAGUAAGAUUGAGGUAAUGUUAAUUAUCUUCCUCUUUCUGAAGAGCUAGAAGUCCUCAGCUGCUGAAGGAUGGCAGGGCCUGGGCUUAAAAAUGUUUUCUGGCCCACAAGGAAGAGCCAUGAGCAAAGACUCAAGAUGCACUAGAUUCUAGUUUGGUUGUCUCAAACUAGCUAUGGGACUGAAUAUAAUUUAUCUGACCAUUGUGCUUACAGUUUCCUCAUCUGUCAAUGGUAACCAAAAUGCAUACUCUAACUACCUAACAGAAUUGUUUUAAAAGUCAGGUAUAGCAACAUCAUGCACAUUUUGUAAAAACAAAACAAUGAUUAAAAUAGAGAAUGAGUUUAAAUUGCAGAUGGAGAAAAUUAAAUUGGGUAAGGAAAAAAGAAACAACUUUCCCCAUAGUGAAACAGGGAAAAUUUUUAGAGAAUGUGCAAAUAACUUCAAGAAAUCAGUGGGAAACAAUUUUGACAAGAGUGGAAAGAAAACUCCAACUGGAAAGAUAGCUUGUGGGGGUCAGCACAGGAGACGUGGACUGUGGUUCUGGCACUACACGCAGAUUGCUGUUUGACCUUGACUGAGUCUCUUCCCCUCUUGGGGCUUCAGUUUCCCCUUUGUGAAACAAAAGCAUUGAACUAAAUAAUCUUGCUAGGGUCUCAUUCUCAAAUGUUAUACUUCUGAUUGUGCGCUCAAUCCUGUCUGGAUUCAAGGAUCCAAAAGGCUUUAAGACACAGUCAAUUGCCAGGCUGGCAUUUCAACAUGGAUGUCCAAAAGGCAUCUCCAGCCUCUCAUGUGCAUCCAAAGCCUUAGGUUGUCUUCCUUUCCCAGAAGGUUCCUCCUGCGGCACAGCCUUCCACACUUCAGGAAAAGGGCGGCUACUCUGGGGGUCCGCCUUUAUCCUCAGUGCCGCACACAGCCUGCAAUCCAUCAACCAGCAUGUCCCGUCACUCCGCCUUCAAAUCUCACCUCCUUCCUGCCAUCAGCUCGCACCUGUGCUGUGCACCUGCCUCACAAGGGCUCUCCUUGAGCCCACUCUCACCGCUCUCCAUCUGUUCCUCACUCAGUCGUCAGGGUGAGCUCUUUAUCCUUUCCUUCAUUCAAAAUCUCCCAAUGGCUUCUCGUCGCAUUGGGAAUAAAAUCAAAAUCCUUGCCUUGGCCUGCGCAGGUUCUUGACCUCACUUGUAGCUCUCUCCUGCUUCUCCUGACCACCCCCGCUUUGGCCGUAGCCAGUUUGGCUGCUUUUCAGCAUGUGGGGCUCAGUUUGGUCUCACGGCCAUUGCACUUGCUGUGUUUGGGGCACUUUCCUUCCAGAUCUUCUUCCGGUUCCUUCCUUUGCUCCAUUCCCAUCUCAAUUCAGAGGUCCCUUCUUUCAGGAGGCUUCCUUCUCUAGCUCCUAAUCCAUUGACCUCUAGUUCUCCAUCCUUCUCUAGCUCCUAAUCUAUUGAUCUCUCUCUCUCACCCUCACCCUGACUUAUUUCUCCUUAAGGCACUUAUCACUCCCUGACAUUAUUUUAUUUCUUUAUUUGCGUAUUUUCUGUCUCUCUCCACUAAGAUGUGAACUCCAUCAGUGCAGAAACUUUUCCUGUCUUGUGUACAACUGUAUCCCUUGUGACGUCUUGUAAGCAUUCAAUAAAUGUUAACUAAAUGAGUGAAUGAAUCAAGGAGGAGAAACUGACCAUAGGGCCUCUGCAGAGCAGCAAACAUUCUUCCACAAAUGGAGGAGAGCUGGGGACUUGGUUUUCUGGCCAGAGGUGAAGCUGGCCCAUCCCCCUCCAGCCUGGAGUGCAGGCAUUUGUGCAGGGCAUGGGUCUCUGACACUGCGAGCCAGUUGUCUCUGCCCCAUGGCUCUGAUCAGAUCCAGGCACUUGGGGUUCUGUGCUUCUCUGCUUUUCUCUUUUUAGGCGGUACUUGGCUGACCUCCCAGGGGGUAUAGCUGGCUUCUUCUCUAAGCCACUUGUUCUUGCUGUUAAGAAAUGACUAAGCAGAUUCUCCAUCUCCUGGUAGCCAGCUGCCAGCCUGCGAGACUUGAUGCUUUUCUGAAAGAGGGCCCUUCUUUUGCUCUGUGUUCAGAGAAAGCACGAAGCAGACAUCACCAUCAUUGCCUCCUUUGCAAUGGCCUGACUCACCUCCUCUUGGUGUGUGGCUCUAGGCUGACCCCCACAAGGAAGAGGGAGGCAGAAAUUGGUAUGAUUACUACCCUCAGGACUCAGCGUCCAAGUCCUGCUGGAUAUUAGAGAAUGACUGGUUGAGAAUAUUCAGAUGGUGACCUAAUCAUACCGGCACCAUUUUUACUGACAGAUUGCUAAGUGCCAGGCAGCAUGCUAACCUCCCUAGGUACCUUAGCUCAUUUGAUUCUUGCAAUCACCUUGUGAGGUAAGUACUGUGACUUUAUAGGUGAGGAAAUGGAGGCAAAGGAAAGUUGAGGAACUUGCCCAAGGUCAUAUGGCUCAGCAGCGGCGGCUGCAUAGAAGCACAGGACCCUGUUUUCAAUAUGCUUGCCUGUCUUGUCCAGGGUGCUUCUACACAGUGCUGCACAGGCAGCUCCUAAAGCUGCGUGCAGCAGGAGCACAAAGAAAACCCCAAGUAAUUCUUCCGAGGGUCUCUGCCGCCACCUCCUUAGUUUACUUCAGGAAGACCUCUGCCAAGUUCAGUGUGAAAUUAACAAAUUUAAUGUGAAAAACUGGUUUAGAAGUGAAAUGGAUUGUGGACUACUGGGUAUAAAUAAAACUAGAAAGAACUUUGCAGAAUCAUUUAUACGUUGACAUUUAUUGCAAAUCAUCAGGAGAGUGGUGUAUCAAACUGUCAUUCCUAAGUUUAAUUGACCAGGGAAUAUGUUUUUUUUUCCCCUUAGGAGUAUCUUAGGGGCUAGAGUUCCAAGAACACUCUUCAGAAAUUGCUGAACUGUGCAGAUAUACCCACUGACCUAUAAAGAUGCCUUGGGCAUUCCUCUUUCUAUUCCUUUGCCCACCCCACUUUCUCCAUCUGGAAUCCAUCCUCUGUCUGUCCAUAGAUCCGUCCAUCCAUCCAGUAAACAUCUACUGUGUUCCAGGCACUAUACAAGGUGCUUUCUCCUAAGUCAUCUUGUUAAUUUUUGCCACAGCCCCAUUCCAUAGAUAAAGAGGUGAUAGAGACAGGAGACAGACAAGGGUCCCUGGCGAAAACCCACCUAAAACCUAAAACAAUCCUGAAGGCUGAAAAACCGGACUGCUGGUCCUGGAUGAAGUCCACCCUUUCCUGAUUGGUUCUGUCUGAAUAAUGCGCACCAAAGGAAGCAGGUGGAGCAGGGAGGAGGAGUCUGGCCUCUUCAGUUCCUAUGUAGUGGCCUGGGAUUCAGUCUGCAAGGUGCGGGCCUGCUAGCAGGACUCUCUCGCUUUGCUGAGAGUUCCUCUUUCCUUUUUCCUUUUUCACCCAAUAAACCCUUCCUCGCAUCUCACCCUACAAUGUGUCCGUGAGCCUAAAUUUUCCGAGUAGUGUGAAAAGAACCUGUUUUUUUUUCCUGCAACAGAGGCAACAUAUCAGCAGACCACAAAGCUGGACAGUGAAAGGGCUGGGAUUAGAAUCCAAAUUUCCCAAUCCGGAUUCCAGAUUGUUUUUUCUUCUAUUCUUCAGUUUUUUGUCCUGUAGUUGCUUAUUCAUAUUUUCUCAAUUUGUCAAAAUCCUAACUCAAACUUCGUUUCCUUCAGAAAUUCAUGUUUCCCUUUCUUCCUAUGUGCUAUGCACAGAGAAACUUCUCCGUCUUCUAAACCCCCUCCAGACCAUCUCUAUCCAGAUUUGGCACCCACUUCAUCAGGUUCCCGGUUAAGAAGUGAGUGUGUGUGUGUGGGUGUCUUGGAUCUCCAGUGGUGUGUAAGCCAAGCACUUGGCACACAUCAUCUUUACUUGACACAUCAGCCUUGUGGGAGAGGUACCAUUACACUCAUUUUGUAGAUGACAGAACUGAUGCACGACGAGGUUCAGGCACUUGCCCAACAUCACCAAGCAAGUCAGUGAUGAAGCUAGGAUUUGAGCCUCAGUCUUCUGGCCCCAGAAUCCACAUUCCUUCCACUAUUCUAUGCUGAACCCCUUGUUGAGCCCCUAGUUUCAUAGCUGAGAAACUGAGGCCCAUGGAAGGACAGUGGCUAGCCCCGAAUCCCACAGCUGUGAAUAGCCGUGCUAAUACCACGUGCAAAGGCUCACAUCCGGGAACCUUUCUUCUCCAGCAGGCUGCCUCCCCAGGUCUAAUGCAGGUCCCAGCUAUUGCUGCCAGUUGGUUCCUGUUACCUGGAUGCCAUGGAAAUUGUACCUUGUAGCUCUUGAUACAGCAGGAGCCUGGUGGCUGCUCCCUGGGGGAGAGCCAAGGAAGGUCAGAGUACUAGCCUGCAAACCCAGCACCUAAAAUAUACCAGGCAGCAACCCCAGUGGAAACCAGGCAGCAAGCCAAGAGCAUGACAUAACCUUCCCACAGCUCAGGGCUGGAGUCGGCUUCCAGCUCCAAGGUUCCCUGGGUACAGCGCCUAACAGAGCACACGUGCACUUCAGGGCUGCGACUUCUUCCUUUUAUUUUAAAGAAAAUGAGUUUCUUUUACUCUGGUUCUAGAAUUGAGGGCUGGCAGGAAUUGAGGGAGCUAAGAGCCAGGAGACCCUUGGACCAUGGUGGGGAAGGGGCAAGGAAUAGGCUUCAGAUUGCUGGUUUCCCAAUUUGAAUGUUCAUCUGGACACUGGAAGAGCUUUCAAAAGUGAUCCAGGUUUCAUUCCAGACCUACAGAAUCAGAAUCCCUGGGGACAGGGCCUGGGAAUCGGUAUUUGAACAUGUUCUCCAGGUGAGUCUCUUCUGGUUCAGGUUUGUGAACUACCUUCCCAAAUAUGCCUCUUCAUGGCUAUCUCCAUUUGCUGGUAGUCCACCAGAUCUCCAUCUCCCAUCCUCAACUCACACUUAGUACACUUUUUUUUUCACCUGUGAAAUUUAAAUUCUAUAUUGUCCAUUUCCAUAGCUUUGAGGGUUGGUGUGAUAACAGCACUUAAUGGGGGUUUCUGUUAUUUUUUUUUUAAAACAGCAGAUUUUAGGUUUUCUCUUUAAAUGGAAGUUUAGGAGGGGUCUGUUCUGACAGAGGAAUAAGUUCCCUGAGAAUUCACUUUUGAAAAAUUUGGUUGUUUUAGAAGUCUGUCUCUGAGGCCCUUAGUAUCCAAAGGAGUCCGUGAAAGUCAGAGGUUGCCAUGGGAAUGGCAGCUGCCAGGAGACAGGCUAUUGUGUUUAGAUUCUUGUAUUAAUAACACCCUCCCCAGCAGCCAGAAAUACCUGUUGAAAGAGGAGAGGUUCUUUUCUUCUUAUUCAAGAAGAGUUUGGAAAGUUACUUUCCUCUGCCUUGAAGAGGGUCAGGGGUUUGUGGUUAGGUGUACAAGUGACUGUUUUUUCUCCUCUUGCCCAAGGUGAAGCAAGAGAACUCAGUUGGAACCUUGGAUCCUCCUAGCUGAUCAGAAGACUAGAGAGGAAAAACAAACUUAGAUGACUCCUCCUCCAGCAUAUCUAAGGGGGACAAAAGCCAUACUGGCCAUGGGGAGACCCUGGAUGAGUGUUGAUACCAAGCUGACCUGAAUUCCAGGCUCAAGUUGUAGAUGUGUGUUCUCCCCUGGGGAGGAGUUACUUACAAGGAUUCUGGGGAGGUUGUUAGCAGCCUACUUUCCACUUCAGUGGAAAGAGCAUUGGAUUCCAUGCAUCUCCUAGCUGCAUGACAGGGAAAGAAAAGGAAAAAGAGGAGAGGACUAGUUUUAGUUGAAUAUUAUACGUACCACAAGUUAGAUGUUGUGUUAGGUGCAGGGAAAUAAAAAUCACUAAGGCAGAAUUUGUACUUGCAAGGAGUUCUCUGUCUCGAGGCAAGCAUGGAAUCAGAAAUGGCAAGUGGUAGUCAUUUUGUUUGCUGACUGGAUUGCUGUGAUGAGUGUUUUCUGCGGGGAGGAAGGGAUGGAUGUCAUUUGGUAUGUCUGGAUCUAAAUAAACAAUACCAUGAUUUCCACUGCUCAGGAGAGUUGUGUGUGGUGCCCUGUGGAUGGUGCAGGUGAGACGUCCAAAGACAGCAUCGCUCACACUGCUCAGGACGGAUGAGGUACUGAAGGAGGCCAGAUUGGAGGAGCCAGCCUGGGCAGGGCUGUGGCUGUUUCAGGGCAAGAUGGGGCCUCCACGUGAAAAGUAACUACAAAACAGAACCAGAAAAUAGUCAUGCUGUUCAAAUAAAGAGACUGUGGCUCAGAAAAUACAAGCAACUUAUAAAAGAGAAAUAUCUGGACCACAAAGAGUCAACUCAUAGCUUUAUCUAAGGCUCCAGGGCUCUGAAGGUCAUGGGUGAACAAUUUUUUUAAUGAAGGAAAAUAAAUGAAUUAACGUGGUGACUUGUCCAGUUAAGCCAAAGAAGCCACACCAAGUGUUAGAGGACCACAGAGGAACCAGAGAGGAUCUGGGAAACCACCCAGGUGUUCAUUGUCUCCAAAGAGCUAAACCUUGCCUCAGAAAAAUGACCUUCUCCUAUCUUUCCUGCUGCAGCAAGAACCUCUGGUUUAACCAAUUAGCCUUACUGAAGUCUGCCCUGGGGACAAAUUGGAAACCUAUAACCUUAGGACAGCAAGGUAAGGAGAGCCAAUGCACAGCCCCUUCACUUCUCUGGCCCCUCAGUCCCCUCUUGUCUUAAUUGGGCAGUGUGGGUCAAACGCUGCACACGUCCCUUCUGAUUCUGCACGCAGUGUUCUUUCUACAUCUUGGCUGUACAGAGAGUUCCAUUUUUCACCCCCAUGAGAGGGGGGUGGGGCAAAACACUGAAGGAAUCUUUCAAAGACCCUCCACCUGACCCCUGUCUGAACAAAUAAUUAAUCUCCUGAAAAAGCAGCUCGCUGAUGGGUCCAGGCUGUGCCUGUGGAUUUAUGAGGUGACGUCAGUUUGAAGACUGGGAUGCAGAGCCUGAGCUGUGUUUCACACACUCCUCAAUUGUUUUAACGGACCUGCUCCUGAAGGCCUCCAAAUCUUUCCCCAAGCUAAGCUUUAUUAAAAUGGCAAAGAUGGAGAGGAGUGCUUUUCCAGAUAAAUCAGCUUACUUAGGCUCUGCUCCCUCCCCUCCCCCUGUCUACUGGAAAGCACUCCCAGAGGGAAGGAAAUGAAGAACUGCAAAGUACUUGCAGGUACAUGCUUAAUGCCUUAAACUCUAGCAUUGUGUUAACAGCUAUUCAUGGACUGGACUUUAAAGAAAUAGAUGGAUUCUCAAUCUGCCCAAUUUAAAUAAUCCUUAAGAGAGAACUAAGGAGGAAGAUUAAUGUCCUUAGUAACUAAAUGACACACCAGAGUUUAGCCUGGAGGCUGGGUCUCUGCACUGACUAUCACAGUGCAAUUCCUUGAGAGGAUCCAGAUAAAACUGGGUUUAAAAUGAAGGUG